CACAGCCACGGUAAUACGUAGGGUGCAAGCGUUAAUCGGAAUUACUGGGCGUAAAGCGUGCGCAGGCGGUUCUAUAAGACAGAUGUGAAAUCCCCGGGCUCAACCUGGGAACUGCAUUUGUGACUGUAGAGCUGGAGUACGGCAGAGGGGGAUGGAAUUCCGCGUGUAGCAGUGAAAUGCGUAGAUAUGCGGAGGAACACCGAUGGCGAAGGCAAUCCCCUGGGCCUGUACUGACGCUCAUGCACGAAAGCGUGGGGAGCAAACAGGAUUAGAUACCCCGGUAGUCCCUGUCUCUUAUACA
RNAcentral lists this ribosomal RNA (301 nucleotides) under uncultured bacterium. Its description in RNAcentral is "partial 16S ribosomal RNA". It matches the Rfam family "Bacterial small subunit ribosomal RNA", at positions 510 to 808 of the family's 1533-position model. The record is from RNAcentral.